This 1395-nucleotide long non-coding RNA is filed under the name Oryzias javanicus (javanese ricefish). Its description in RNAcentral is "lncRNA (ENSOJAG00000001461.1)". Lineage: Eukaryota; Metazoa; Chordata; Actinopteri; Beloniformes; Adrianichthyidae. The record is from RNAcentral.
AUGUGUUACAGUGUGUUUACAGUGUUUGUGGUUGUCAUCAUGUGUUACACUGUUUUUGUGUUUCAUCACUUGUCAUCAUGUGUUACACUGUUUGUGUUGUCAUCAUGUGUUACAGUGUUUGUGUUGUCAUCAUGUGUUACAGUGUUUGUGUUGUCAUCAUGUGUUACAGUGUUUGUGUUGUCAUCAUGUGUUACACUGUUUGUGUUACACCGUUUGUGUUGUCAUCAUGUGUUACACUGUUUGUGUUACAGUGUUUGUGUUGUCAUCAUGUGUUACAGUGUUUGUGUUGUCAUCAUGUGUUACAGUGUUUGUGUUGUCAUCAUGUGUUACACCGUUUGUGUUGUCAUCAUGUGUUACAGUGUUUGUGUUGUCAUCAUGUGUUACAGUGUGUUACAGUGUUUGUGUUGUCAUCGUGUGUUACGGUGUUUGUGUUGUCAUCAUGUGUUACAGUGUUUGUGUUGUCAUCAUGUGUUACACUGUUUGUGUUACACCGUUUGUGUUGUCAUCAUGUGUUACACUGUUUGUGUUACAGUGUUUGUGUUGUCAUCAUGUGUUACAGUGUUUGUGUUGUCAUCAUGUGUUACACUGUUUGUGUUACAGUGUUUGUGUUGUCAUCAUGUGUUACAGUGUUUGUGUUGUCAUCAUGUGUUACACUGUUUGUGUUACAGUGUUUGUGUUGUCAUCAUGUGUUACAGUGUUUGUGUUGUCGUCAUGUGUUACAGUGUUUGUGUUACAGUGUUUGUGUUGUCAUCAUGUGUUACAGUGUUUGUGUUGUCAUCAUGUGUUACAGUGUUUGUGUUAGAGUGUUGUGUUGUCAUCAUGUGUUACACUGUUUGUGUUGUCAUCAUGUGUUACACUGUUUGUGUUACACUGUGUUGUCAUCGUGUGCUACACUGUUUGUGUUACACUGUGUUGUCAUCAUGUGUUACAGUGUUUGUGUUGUCAUCAUGUGUUACACUGUUUGUGUUACAGUGUUUGUGUUGUCAUCAUGUGUUACAGUGUUUGUGUUGUCGUCAUGUGUUACAGUGUUUGUGUUACAGUGUUUGUGUUGUCAUCAUGUGUUACAGUGUUUGUGUUGUCAUCAUGUGUUACAGUGUUUGUGUUGUCAUCAUGUGUUACAGUGUUUGUGUUAGAGUGUUUGUGUUGUCAUCAUGUGUUACACUGUUUGUGUUGUCAUCAUGUGUUACACUGUUUGUGUUACACUGUGUUGUCAUCGUGUGCUACACUGUUUGUGUUACACUGUGUUGUCAUCAUGUGUUACAGUGUUUGUGUUGUCAUCAUGUGUUACAGUGUGUUACAGUGUUUGUGUUGUCAUCAUGUGUUACAGUGUUUGUGUUGUCAUCAUGUGUUACACUGUUUGUGUUGUCAUCGUGUGUUACAGUGUUUGUGUUGUAA